AUACGAUAAGAGCAAAGCUAAUGAAAAUUAGUGACGCAAAGCUACAGGAGCUAAGGCGAAAUAUAUCGCUAUGCUUGCCAGUUACCGAA
Molecule: non-coding RNA, 89 nt
Filed under: Paenibacillus sp.
Lineage: Bacteria; Bacillati; Bacillota; Bacilli; Caryophanales; Paenibacillaceae
Description: c-di-GMP sequence
Rfam family: c-di-GMP-I riboswitch aptamer
About the family: GEMM was predicted in a large-scale screen for bacterial structured RNA regulatory elements. Genes associated with GEMM are involved in a diverse array of functions, including chemotaxis regulation, signal transduction, secretion and chitin.
Source: RNAcentral